AUUGAACGCUGGCGGCAUGCCUUACACAUGCAAGUCGAACGGCAGCACGGGAGCAAUCCUGGUGGCGAGUGGCGAACGGGUGAGUAAUAUAUCGGAACGUGCCCAGUAGUGGGGGGAUAGCCCGGCGAAAGCCGGAUUAAUACCGCAUACGACCUGUGGGUGAAAGCGGGGGAUCGCAAGACCUCGCGCUAUUGGAGCGGCCGAUAUCAGAUUAGCUUGUUGGUGGGGUAAAAAGCCCACCAAGGCGACGAUCUGUAGCUGGUCUGAGAGGACGACCAGCCACACUGGGACUGAGACACGGCCCAGACUCCUACGGGAGCAGCAGUGGGGAAUUUUGGACAAUGGGCGCAAGCCUGAUCCAGCCAUGCCGCGUGUGGGG
Molecule: ribosomal RNA, 379 nt
Filed under: uncultured bacterium
Lineage: Bacteria
Description: bacterial SSU rRNA
Rfam family: Bacterial small subunit ribosomal RNA
Source: RNAcentral